GACGAACGCUGGCGGCGUGCUUAACACAUGCCAGUCGAACGAAGAGCGAUGGAAGCUUGCUUCUAUCAAUCUUAGUGGCGAACGGGUGAGUAACGCGUAAUCAACCUGCCCUUCAGAGGGGGACAACAGUUGGAAACGACUGCUAAUACCGCAUACGAUCUAAUCUCGGCAUCGAGGAUAGAUGAAAGGUGGCCUCUACAUGUAAGCUAUCACUGAAGGAGGGGAUUGCGUCUGAUUAGCUAGUUGGAGGGGUAACGGCCCACCAAGGCGAUGAUCAGUAGCCGGUCUGAGAGGAUGAACGGCCACAUUGGGACUGAGACACGGCCCAGACUCCUACGGGAGGCAGCAGUGGGGAAUCUUCCGCAAUGGACGAAAGUCUGACGGAGCAACGCCGCGUGAGUGAUGACGGCCCUCGGGUUGUAAAGCUCUGUUAAUCGGGACGAAAGGCCUUCUUGCGAAUAGUGAGAAGGAUUGACGGUACCGGAAUAGAAAGCCACGGCUAACUACGUG
This 510-nucleotide ribosomal RNA is filed under the name uncultured bacterium. RNAcentral's name for it is "partial 16S ribosomal RNA". It matches the Rfam family "Bacterial small subunit ribosomal RNA", at positions 28 to 507 of the family's 1533-position model. The record is from RNAcentral.